RNAcentral lists this signal recognition particle RNA (157 nucleotides) under Pan troglodytes (chimpanzee). RNAcentral describes it as "Metazoan signal recognition particle RNA". It matches the Rfam family "Metazoan signal recognition particle RNA", at positions 96 to 252 of the family's 299-position model. Rfam says of the family: The signal recognition particle (SRP) is a universally conserved ribonucleoprotein. It is involved in the co-translational targeting of proteins to membranes. The eukaryotic SRP consists of a 300-nucleotide 7S RNA and six proteins: SRPs 72, 68, 54, 19, 14, and 9. The record is from Rfam by way of RNAcentral. Lineage: Eukaryota; Metazoa; Chordata; Mammalia; Primates; Hominidae.
UGCCGACUGGGUGUCUGCACUAAGUUUGGAAUCAUUAUGAUGACCUCCCAGGAGUGGGGAACCACCGGGUUGCCUAAGGUGGGGUGAACCUGCCCAGGUCAGAAAUGGAGCAGGUCAAAACUCCCAUGCUAAUCAAUAAUGGGAUUGUGCCUAUGAA